AGCCCAGAGCCUGAAUCAGUGUGUGUGUUAGUGGAAGCGUCUGGAAAGGCGCGCGAUACAGGGUGACAGCCCCGUACACAAAAAUGCACAUACUGUGAGCUCGAUGAGUAGGGCGGGACACGUGGUAUCCUGUCUGAAUAUGGGGGGACCAUCCUCCAAGGCUAAAUACUCCUGACUGACCGAUAGUGAACCAGUACCGUGAGGGAAAGGCGAAAAGAACCCCGGCGAGGGGAGUGAAAAAGAACCUGAAACCGUGUACGUACAAGCAGUGGGAGCCUCUUAAUGGGGUGACUGCGUACCUUUUGUAUAAUGGGUCAGCGACUUAUAUUCUGUAGCAAGGUUAACCGAAUAGGGGAGCCGAAGGGAAACCGAGUCUUAACUGGGCGUUAAGUUGCAGGGUAUAGACCCGAAACCCGGUGAUCUAGCCAUGGGCAGGUUGAAGGUUGGGUAACACUAACUGGAGGACCGAACCGACUAAUGUUGAAAAAUUAGCGGAUGACUUGUGGCUGGGGGUGAAAGGCCAAUCAAACCGGGAGAUAGCUGGUUCUCCCCGAAAGCUAUUUAGGUAGCGCCUCGUGAAUUCAUCUCCGGGGGUAGAGCACUGUUUCGGCAAGGGGGUCAUCCCGACUUACCAACCCGAUGCAAACUGCGAAUACCGGAGAAUGUUAUCACGGGAGACACACGGCGGGUGCUAACGUCCGUCGUGAAGAGGGAAACAACCCAGACCGCCAGCUAAGGUCCCAAAGUCAUGGUUAAGUGGGAAACGAUGUGGGAAGGCCCAGACAGCCAGGAUGUUGGCUUAGAAGCAGCCAUCAUUUAAAGAAAGCGUAAUAGCUCACUGGUCGAGUCGGCCUGCGCGGAAGAUGUAACGGGGCUAAACCAUGCACCGAAGCUGCGGCAGCGACACUAUGUGUUGUUGGGUAGGGGAGCGUUCUGUAAGCCUGUGAAGGUGUACUGUGAGGUAUGCUGGAGGUAUCAGAAGUGCGAAUGCUGACAUAAGUAACGAUAAAGCGGGUGAAAAGCCCGCUCGCCGGAAGACCAAGGGUUCCUGUCCAACGUUAAUCGGGGCAGGGUGAGUCGACCCCUAAGGCGAGGCCGAAAGGCGUAGUCGAUGGGAAACAGGUUAAUAUUCCUGUACUUGGUGUUACUGCGAAGGGGGGACGGAGAAGGCUAUGUUGGCCGGGCGACGGUUGUCCCGGUUUAAGCGUGUAGGCUGGUUUUCCAGGCAAAUCCGGAAAAUCAAGGCUGAGGCGUGAUGACGAGGCACUACGGUGCUGAAGCAACAAAUGCCCUGCUUCCAGGAAAAGCCUCUAAGCAUCAGGUAACAUCAAAUCGUACCCCAAACCGACACAGGUGGUCAGGUAGAGAAUACCAAGGCGCUUGAGAGAACUCGGGUGAAGGAACUAGGCAAAAUGGUGCCGUAACUUCGGGAGAAGGCACGCUGAUAUGUAGGUGAAGUCCCUCGCGGAUGGAGCUGAAAUCAGUCGAAGAUACCAGCUGGCUGCAACUGUUUAUUAAAAACACAGCACUGUGCAAACACGAAAGUGGACGUAUACGGUGUGACGCCUGCCCGGUGCCGGAAGGUUAAUUGAUGGGGUUAGCGGUAACGCGAAGCUCUUGAUCGAAGCCCCGGUAAACGGCGGCCGUAACUAUAACGGUCCUAAGGUAGCGAAAUUCCUUGUCGGGUAAGUUCCGACCUGCACGAAUGGCGUAAUGAUGGCCAGGCUGUCUCCACCCGAGACUCAGUGAAAUUGAACUCGCUGUGAAGAUGCAGUGUACCCGCGGCAAGACGGAAAGACCCCGUGAACCUUUACUAUAGCUUGACACUGAACAUUGAGCCUUGAUGUGUAGGAUAGGUGGGAGGCUUUGAAGUGUGGACGCCAGUCUGCAUGGAGCCGGCCUUGAAAUACCACCCUUUAAUGUUUGAUGUUCUAACGUUGGCCCCUGACCGGGGUUGCGGACAGUGUCUGGUGGGUAGUUUGACUGGGGCGGUCUCCUCCUAAAGAGUAACGGAGGAGCACGAAGG
This 2026-nucleotide ribosomal RNA is filed under the name Escherichia coli. RNAcentral describes it as "partial 23S ribosomal RNA". It matches the Rfam family "Bacterial large subunit ribosomal RNA", at positions 296 to 2316 of the family's 2925-position model. Lineage: Bacteria; Pseudomonadati; Pseudomonadota; Gammaproteobacteria; Enterobacterales; Enterobacteriaceae. The record is from RNAcentral.